This 253-nucleotide ribosomal RNA is filed under the name uncultured bacterium. Its description in RNAcentral is "partial 16S ribosomal RNA". It matches the Rfam family "Bacterial small subunit ribosomal RNA", at positions 524 to 776 of the family's 1533-position model. The record is from RNAcentral.
UACAGAGGGUGCGAGCGUUAAUCGGAAUUACUGGGCGUAAAGCGCACGUAGGUGGCGACGUAAGUCGGGUGUGAAAGCCCCGGGCUCAACCUGGGAAUUGCAUUCGAGACUGCAUUGCUGGCGUACGGAAGAGGAGGGCGGAAUUCCCGUUGUCGCGGUGAAAUGCGUAGAUAUCGGGAGGAACAUCAGUGGCGAAGGCGGCCCUCUGGUCCAGUACUGACACUCAAGUGCGAAAGCGUGGGGAGCAAACAGG